CUGUAUCUUGCAGGAAAUGUCUAGCUGAUGGAAGCCUUCUCAGUGAGGCAGUGGUGGAUUCUGAGAAUGUUGUAGCUGCCGUAAAUGUAAGUACUUGGAGCACCAAAUGAGAAUAUUUGGCUGCUAUAUAAUUAACACAACAACUUCCUGUAUUUGGAGCACUGCAACAUCCUAGAACUCUUUCAAUGAGGAAGCCCCAUUACUGUUCUUUAGGCCAUGGAGAGUGCCAAUGUUAUGAAGUGAAGCCUAAUUU
This 253-nucleotide long non-coding RNA is filed under the name Rosa chinensis. RNAcentral's name for it is "sRNA RchiOBHm_Chr7g0238941". Lineage: Eukaryota; Viridiplantae; Streptophyta; Magnoliopsida; Rosales; Rosaceae. The record is from RNAcentral.